CACGUAGGGUGCGAGCGUUGUCCGGAAUUAUUGGGCGUAAAGAGCUCGUAGGCGGUGUGUCGCGUCGGCCGUGAAAACCUGCAGCUUAACUGUGGGCUUGCGGUCGAUACGGGCAUCACUGGAGUUCGGCAGGGGAGACUGGAAUUCCUGGUGUAGCGGUGAAAUGCGCAGAUAUCAGGAGGAACACCGAUGGCGAAGGCAGGUCUCUGGGACGGUACUGACGCUGAGACGCGAAAGCGUGGGGAGCGAACAGG
Molecule: ribosomal RNA, 254 nt
Filed under: uncultured bacterium
Lineage: Bacteria
Description: partial 16S ribosomal RNA
Rfam family: Bacterial small subunit ribosomal RNA
Source: RNAcentral